Long non-coding RNA from Selaginella moellendorffii, 364 nucleotides. RefSeq lists it as uncharacterized. The record is from RefSeq and is a predicted model, not a curated record. The transcript is spliced from 3 exons. Lineage: Eukaryota; Viridiplantae; Streptophyta; Lycopodiopsida; Selaginellales; Selaginellaceae.
UAGGGUUCUUUGGAUCGGGAGCUGGCACGGGCGGAUCGAUCCAUCCGGCAUGCCUGUGAGUAGCUUUGAUGGGACACGCAUUUGCGCUCGACUGAGCUAGAGGCACCGGGAGUAGUGCGCUAUUUGCUGGGAGCUGUGAUCAUGUUUACUGGUGUGAUCCUGCCACUGAUUUUCAUGCUGUUUCGGAAUCGCCGUGUUCCAAGCGCCGCUCCCUUUGCCAAGCAGACGCCAUUUUGAGAACCUUUGUUCCAAUCACUUUUGUAAAUUUAUUCCACCUGGCCACACGAAGUUCCCAGGUUUUUGAAAGAACCAGGUUUGUUUUACGAAGGUCUCCUCAAAAUGUUGGUAAAAGUCUCUUGAUUUC